This 300-nucleotide ribosomal RNA is filed under the name uncultured Sporohalobacter sp. RNAcentral's name for it is "bacterial SSU rRNA". It matches the Rfam family "Bacterial small subunit ribosomal RNA", at positions 496 to 795 of the family's 1533-position model. Lineage: Bacteria; Bacillati; Bacillota; Clostridia; Halanaerobiales; Halobacteroidaceae. The record is from RNAcentral.
GCUAACGCGUGGCCAGCAGCCGCGGUAUGACGUAGGGUGGGAGGGUUAAUCGUAAUUACUGGGCGUAAAGCGGGCGCAGGAUGUGAUGUAAGACAGAUGUGAAAUCCCCGGUCUCAACCUGGGAACUGCGUUUGGGACUGCAUCACUCGAGUACGGCAGAGGGAGGUGGAAUUCCACGUGUAGCAGUGAAAUGCGUAGAGAUGUGGAGGAACACCGAUGGCGAAGGCAGCCUCCUGGGCCAGUACUGACGCUCAUGCACGAAAGCGUGGGGAGCAAACAGGAUUAGAUACCCUAGUAGUC